RNAcentral lists this ribosomal RNA (517 nucleotides) under Blanfordia sp. YK-2011. RNAcentral describes it as "partial 16S ribosomal RNA". It matches the Rfam family "Bacterial large subunit ribosomal RNA", at positions 1812 to 2604 of the family's 2925-position model. Lineage: Eukaryota; Metazoa; Mollusca; Gastropoda; Littorinimorpha; Pomatiopsidae. The record is from RNAcentral.
AACAUGGCUCUUUGAAAUUUUUAUAUAAAGAGUCGGGCCUGCCCAGUGAUAAUAUUUAACGGCCGCGGUACUCUGACCGUGCGAAGGUAGCAUAAUCAUUUGCCUUAUAAUUAAGGGCUUGUAUGAACGGUCUGACAAGAGCAUUACUGUCUCCUUAAAAAUUUAUAAAAUUUGGUUUUUAGGUGAAGAAACCUAAAUAUAAUUGAAAGACAAGAAGACCCUAUCGAGCUUUAAAACAAUAAGUUAAAGAAUAUAAGUAUAAAAAUUAGUUUUAACCUAAAAUUUUGGUUGGGGCGACUGAGGAACAUACAAAGCUUCUUUUAUUAAAUAAUGCAUAUAAGCUAUGAUCCAAAAAAUUUGAUUAAAAAAAUUAGUUACCGUAGGGAUAACAGCAUAAUUUUUUUUAAGAGCUCUUAUCGAAAAAAAGGUUUGUGACCUCGAUGUUGGACUAGGAUAUCCUAAUAGAUGCAGAAGUCUUUAAAGGUGGGUCUGUUCGACCACUAAUAUCCUACGUGAU